CUAAGCUUGCCCAACUGGGCAGAGGAUCCUCCUCCAGUCACCACUGGCCUACUCCUGUGAUUUCUCAUCAUACGCCAGUGGAUGUGUUCCUUUCAUUCUGCAGCACACAGGACACAGCCAAUAUCAGCGCACUGGAAAUAAACAAUGCAGCAGGACCAUGCCUCGUGCACUUAAUUAGUCAAAUAAAGGUCAAGGCUCACCAGGACCUGCAGGCCCAUGUGCCUUGCAAGCCACAUUUCAGGUGUGUCAAAAACUGACAUCAAGCUGCCUACCUAUCAGUUCACUAGGAAAGCAGUAUCUGUCCUCAGCAAAGUGUGACUGCUGCCCUUUGGACGCUGAAUUUCCACGGACUAUUUGUGACACAUUGCCUGCAGGUUUUUCAAAUCUGAUGUGUCAGGCCCUCCAGGGAAAAGAGGAUCACUAGUAGUACCGUUUGAUUGAUGCAGUAAGACUGCCUCUUGGAUUUCUGUUAUGUUCUGGUUUUACAUGGUCAUGAGCACACGUUAUUAGCUGUUGCGUUGUUUGUUCAAGCUGAGACUCUGUGAAUGUAUCUGUACUGUUGCUAUUGUAAUGACAAGCAUGGGAAAGAUUUUAGCUUUUGCUUUAAAAAAUAACUCUUUAAGACUGUU
Long non-coding RNA from Pogoniulus pusillus (Red-fronted tinkerbird), 629 nucleotides. RefSeq lists it as uncharacterized. The transcript is spliced from 4 exons. The record is from RefSeq and is a predicted model, not a curated record. NCBI's taxonomy places the organism in Eukaryota, Metazoa, Chordata, Aves, Piciformes, Lybiidae.